AACGAACGCUGGCGGCAGGCUUAACACAUGCAAGUCGAACGCAUCCUUCGGGGUGAGUGGCAGACGGGUGAGUAACGCGUGGGAACGUGCCCUUCAGUUCGGGAUAACCCAGGGAAACUUGGGCCAAUACCGGAUACGUGCGAGAGCAGAAAGAUUUAUCGCUGAAGGAUCGGCCCGCGUCUGAUUAGCUAGUUGGUGGGGUAAUGGCCCACCAAGGCGACGAUCAGUAGCUGGUCUGAGAGGAUGAUCAGCCACAUUGGGACUGAGACACGGCCCAAACUCCUACGGGGGGCAGCAGUGGGGAAUAUUGGACAAUGGGCGCAAGCCUGAUCCAGCCAUGCCGCGUGAGUGAUGAAGGCCUUAGGGUUGUAAAGCUCUUUCGUCCGGGACGAUAAUGACGGUACCGGAAGAAGAAGCCCCGGCUAACUUCGUGCCAGCAGCCGCCGUAA
This 449-nucleotide ribosomal RNA is filed under the name uncultured bacterium. Its description in RNAcentral is "partial 16S ribosomal RNA". It matches the Rfam family "Bacterial small subunit ribosomal RNA", at positions 29 to 523 of the family's 1533-position model. The record is from RNAcentral.